This 459-nucleotide ribosomal RNA is filed under the name uncultured bacterium. Its description in RNAcentral is "bacterial SSU rRNA". It matches the Rfam family "Bacterial small subunit ribosomal RNA", at positions 38 to 502 of the family's 1533-position model. The record is from RNAcentral.
GGCGGSGUGGCSUAACACGUGSRAGUCAAAGGGAAGCAACUUCGGUUGUGGAGUACUUGGGGCAGGGGUGAGUAAUGGAUAGGUAAUCUGCCCUUUGGACUGGAAUAACCCCGAGAAAUCGGGGACAAUACCARAUGAUGCAGCGGAACCGCAUGGUUAUGUUGUUAAAGAUUUAUCGCCAAAGGAUGAACCUAUAUCCCAUCAGGUAGUUGGCAGGGUUAUAGCCUACCAAGCCUACGACGGGUAGCUGGUCUGAGAGGAUGAUCAGCCACAUUGGAACUGAGACACGGUCCAGACUCCUACGGGAGGCAGCAGUGAGGAAUAUUGCGCAAUGGGCGAAAGCCUGACGCACAACGGCGCGUGGAUGAUGGAGUUCUUCGGGAUGUAAGGUCCUUUUGUAGAGGAAAAUAUCCCGGUUUACCGGGACUGACGGUACUCUACAAUAAGCCACGGGUAACU